GAUGAACGCUGGCGGCGUGCCUAAUACAUGCAAGUAGAACGCUGAAGGAGGAGCUUGCUUCUCCGGAUGAGUUGCGAACGGGUGAGUAACGCGUAGGUAACCUGCCUGGUAGCGGGGGAUAACUAUUGGAAACGAUAGCUAAUACCGCAUAACAGUAGAUAUCGCAUGAUAUCUGCUUGAAAGGUGCAAUUGCAUCACUACCAGAUGGACCUGCGUUGUAUUAGCUAGUUGGUGAGGUAACGGCUCACCAAGGCGACGAUACAUAGCCGACCUGAGAGGGUGAUCGGCCACACUGGGACUGAGACACGGCCCAGACUCCUACGGGAGGCAGCAGUAGGGAAGCUUCGGCAAUGGACGGAAGUCUGACCGAGCAACGCCGCGGGAGUGAAGAAGGUUGUCGGAUCGUAAAGCUCUGUUGUAAGAGAAGAACGAGUGUGAGAGUGGAAAGUUCACACUGUGACGGUAUCUUACCAGAAAGGGACGGCUAACUACGUG
RNAcentral lists this ribosomal RNA (495 nucleotides) under uncultured bacterium. RNAcentral's name for it is "partial 16S ribosomal RNA". It matches the Rfam family "Bacterial small subunit ribosomal RNA", at positions 28 to 507 of the family's 1533-position model. The record is from RNAcentral.